GGGGCCUUCCCUUCACCCCGCGGGAGUUGGACCGGUGGCGCUGGUAAGGCCUCCCGGGCUCAAAGUGCAACGGACACUGCAGAAAUCCAAACUGCUGGCAUUCGCGGUUUGGGGACGCCAGAGGAGGUAAUGAUUUCUGGUUUGUUAACCUCAAGUGACAAUAAUGCCGAGCCAGGCAGGAGCUGGACCUACAAUCUUCUGAUGCGUGGUCAGACACGUUAUCCCUUGCGCCACUGGCCUACCACGCUACUCCUUCAGUCGCCGUUGGAUUACUGUGUGUUGAGAACACACUCGGCAACCACUUUAAAGGACAACGCAGGCUGGGACUCAUCUGAGGCUAAGCUGCCCAUAGUUCGGGGAGACCCACAGGGAAAACAAAACAAGAAACAGAGAACUUGGAAACGGACGCUGAUUACUUUGAACGUUUGCUCAACCGAGGAAGCAGGAACUGUUCGGCCCCAUCUCAAGUCCGCAGGGCGGACUGCCUGGCUCUGGGCAGAUCCGAGGUGGAUAGGACAAGGCAAAAGGUAGCCCUGGAGAGGUGAGUGGAUAAAGUCCCUGGACACAGGGGCUGCCGUUGGAGGAGGUUGUAAUGUCAUUGUCCUCCUGUGGAAGUUAACUGUGGAGAAUUAACUAGAGACCAGCGCUGAGAGAGAAUUAAUUGGAUAAAAGUUCUAUCUAGGACAGUCCUUGAGCGUAAUUUUGUGAAGCAAACACAAGACAACAACAAAACGAGUAAAACCUAAACACACAUCCACACACUCACUGAAAGAUUCAGAGAUUGCACAGAACACAAAGACUUUUCUGGUAAUAAAAUCUCCCUAUCCUAAUUUUCUAGAAAAAAAGCUGUUGAAGCCACCGCGCAGUUCUUACAAGACAUAACACAAAUCUUCCACACAAAGGCAGAAAUACAGUAUCAACCUUUGUGAGGAGUACAGCAAAUAAAUGAUGUUUCUUUAGGGUCCUAGGCAACCUGUAUGCUUUUGUUACCAGUGUAUACAACAUGGUAUGGUUUAUUGCUAUCUUUCA
Molecule: long non-coding RNA, 1029 nt
Filed under: Homo sapiens (human)
Lineage: Eukaryota; Metazoa; Chordata; Mammalia; Primates; Hominidae
Description: HSALNT0347480
Source: RNAcentral